RNAcentral lists this ribosomal RNA (253 nucleotides) under uncultured bacterium. Its description in RNAcentral is "partial 16S ribosomal RNA". It matches the Rfam family "Archaeal small subunit ribosomal RNA", at positions 474 to 727 of the family's 1478-position model. The record is from RNAcentral.
UACCAGCACCCCGAGUGGUCGGGACGUUUAUUGGGCCUAAAGCAUCCGUAGCCGGUUCUACAAGUCUUCCGUUAAAUCCAACUGCUUUACAGGUGGGCUGCGGAAGAUACUAUAGAGCUAGGAGGCGGGAGAGGCAAGCGGUACUCGAUGGGUAGGGGUAAAAUCCGUUGAUCCAUUGAAGACCACCAGUGGCGAAGGCGGCUUGCCAGAACGCGCUCGACGGUGAGGGAUGAAAGCUGGGGGAGCAAACCAG